RNAcentral lists this ribosomal RNA (533 nucleotides) under Lasiodiplodia theobromae. Its description in RNAcentral is "eukaryotic LSU rRNA". The stretch from base 157 to 310 matches the Rfam family "5.8S ribosomal RNA". The record is from RNAcentral. Lineage: Eukaryota; Fungi; Ascomycota; Dothideomycetes; Botryosphaeriales; Botryosphaeriaceae.
ACCUGCGGAAGGAUCAUUACCGAGUUUUCGGGCUUCGGCUCGACUCUCCCACCCUUUGUGAACGUACCUCUGUUGCUUUGGCGGCUCCGGCCGCCAAAGGACCUCCAAACUCCAGUCAGUAAACGCAGACGUCUGAUAAACAAGUUAAUAAACUAAAACUUUCAACAACGGAUCUCUUGGUUCUGGCAUCGAUGAAGAACGCAGCGAAAUGCGAUAAGUAAUGUGAAUUGCAGAAUUCAGUGAAUCAUCGAAUCUUUGAACGCACAUUGCGCCCCUUGGUAUUCCGGGGGGCAUGCCUGUUCGAGCGUCAUUACAACCCUCAAGCUCUGCUUGGAAUUGGGCACCGUCCUCACUGCGGACGCGCCUCAAAGACCUCGGCGGUGGCUGUUCAGCCCUCAAGCGUAGUAGAAUACACCUCGCUUUGGAGCGGUUGGCGUCGCCCGCCGGACGAACCUUCUGAACUUUUCUCAAGGUUGACCUCGGAUCAGGUAGGAGAUACCCGCUGAACUUAAGCAUAUCAAUAAGCGGAGGAA